AUGUCGAGCGUGCGCCUGAGCCUGCAGCGCGGGUGCACGGCGGCAGAGGACGCGUACCUUGAGCGGCUCGCGAGGGAGAAGGGCUUCGGCAACUCCUCGAUGUCUCGAUUCGGCCGAGGAGGUAGAUCGAUGUCCACCAUGCGCCUGAGGCUGAGGCUGCUGUGGACAGCCGAGGAAGACGCGCGCCUGGAGCGGCUCGCGAGGGAAAACGGCUUCCGCCACUGGAGCCGGGUGGCGCGCCGGAUGCCGGGCCGCUCCCGCAGCCUCUGCCUCGCCCGGUGGCGUCACCUAUCGGCGGAGCGCGAGGUGUGCUACCUCCACACCGCCCUCGCCGCACUCUCCCACCGCGACGAGGACGAGCUCCUCAGCCGCGACUGGAUGCGCCGCUGGACGGCCUACAGAAAGAAGGCCGCCAAGAGCAGCCCGGAGAAGGCCCAAGAAUACUGGACGGAGUUCAUGAAGAACGCCGCUACGGGUUUCUUGGAGGAGGGGGUCCAGUCGGGGCCGGAGCCGGCUUCCCCGGCGCCGAUGCAGGAACAGCAACAGCACCCUCUCGCCGACGUCCUUGCCUCGGGCUUGAGCUCUUGCAGCCUCGCACCGGUAGAUCCCAGGGCUGGCAGCCUCGCGCUCGGGCUUGCGCGCAUGACCAUCUGA
RNAcentral lists this ribosomal RNA (654 nucleotides) under Triticum aestivum (bread wheat). Its description in RNAcentral is "partial small subunit ribosomal RNA". The record is from RNAcentral. Lineage: Eukaryota; Viridiplantae; Streptophyta; Magnoliopsida; Poales; Poaceae.